AUUGAACGCUGGCGGCAGGCCUAACACAUGCAAGUCGAGCGGAUGAAGGGAGCUUGCUCCUGGAUUCAGCGGCGGACGGGUGAGUAAUGCCUAGGAAUCUGCCUGGUAGUGGGGGAUAACGUCCGGAAACGGGCGCUAAUACCGCAUACGUCCUGAGGGAGAAAGUGGGGGAUCUUCGGACCUCACGCUAUCAGAUGAGCCUAGGUCGGAUUAGCUAGUUGGUGGGGUAAAGGCCUACCAAGGCGACGAUCCGUAACUGGUCUGAGAGGAUGAUCAGUCAAUCUGGAACUGAGACACGGCCCAGACUCCUACGGGAGGCAGCAGUGGGGAAUAUUGGAAAAUGGGCGAAAGCCUGAUCCAGCCAUGCCGCGUGUGUGAAGAAGGUCUUCGGAUUGUAAAGCACUUUAAGUUGGGAGGAAGGGCAGUAAGUUAAAACCUUGCUGUUUUGACGUUACCAACAGAAUAAGCACCGGCAAACUUCGU
RNAcentral lists this ribosomal RNA (483 nucleotides) under uncultured bacterium. RNAcentral describes it as "partial 16S ribosomal RNA". It matches the Rfam family "Bacterial small subunit ribosomal RNA", at positions 30 to 506 of the family's 1533-position model. The record is from RNAcentral.